GACGAACGCUGGUGGCGUGCCUAAUACAUGCAAGUAGAACGCUGAAGGAGGAGCUUGCUUCUCUGGAUGAGUUGCGAACGGGUGAGUAACGCGUAGGUAACCUGCCUGGUAGCGGGGGAUAACUAUUGGAAACGAUAGCUAAUACCGCAUAAUAUUGACUAUUGCAUGAUAGUCAGUUGAAAGGUGCAACUGCACCACUACCAGAUGGACCUGCGUUGUAUUAGCUAGUUGGUGGGGUAACGGCUCACCAAGGCGACGAUACAUAGCCGACCUGAGAGGGUGAUCGGCCACACUGGGACUGAGACACGGCCCAGACUCCUACGGGAGGCAGCAGUAGGGAAUCUUCGGCAAUGGACGGAAGUCUGACCGAGCAACGCCGCGUGAGUGAAGAAGGUUUUCGGAUCGUAAAGCUCUGUUGUAAGAGAAGAACGAGUGUGAGAGUGGAAAGCUCACACUGUGACGGUAUCUUACCAGAAAGGGACGGCUAACUACGUG
RNAcentral lists this ribosomal RNA (495 nucleotides) under uncultured bacterium. Its description in RNAcentral is "partial 16S ribosomal RNA". It matches the Rfam family "Bacterial small subunit ribosomal RNA", at positions 28 to 507 of the family's 1533-position model. The record is from RNAcentral.